GACGAACGCUGGCGGCGUGCUUAACACAUGCAAGUCGAACGGGAUCCAUGUUGUAGCAAUACUUCGGAAGAUCUAGUGGCGAACGGGUGAGGAACACGUGAGAAACCUGCCCCGAACUUCGGGAUAACAGUUGGAAACGAUUGCUAAUACCGAAUACCUCUGCGAAGUGGCAUCACUUUGCAAAGAAAGAAUUUCGGUUCGGGAGGGUCUCGCGGCCUAUCAGCUAGUUGGUGGGGUAACGGCCUACCAAGGCAUCGACGGGUAGCUGGUCUGAGAGGAUGAUCAGCCACACUGGGACUGAGACACGGCCCAGACUCCUACGGGAGGCAGCAGUGGGGAAUCUUGUGCAAUGGGCGAAAGCCUGACACAGCAACGCCGCGUGCGGGAAGAAGGCCUUCGGGUCGUAAACCGCUUUCAGCAGGAACGAAAAUGACGGUACCUGCAGAAGAAGGUGCGGCCAACUACGUGCCAGCAGCCGCAGUAA
This 484-nucleotide ribosomal RNA is filed under the name uncultured bacterium. RNAcentral's name for it is "partial 16S ribosomal RNA". It matches the Rfam family "Bacterial small subunit ribosomal RNA", at positions 28 to 523 of the family's 1533-position model. The record is from RNAcentral.